GAGUACGGCGAGACACGAGAAAUCUCGUCGGAAUCUGGGAGGCCCAUCUCCCAACCCUAAAUACUCUCUAGUGACCGAUAGUGAACCAGUACCCUGAGGGAAAGGUGAAAAGCACCCCGGGAGGGGAGUGAAAUAGAACCUGAAACCGUGUGCCUACAACAAGUUCGAGCCCGUUAAUGGGUGAGAGCGUGCCUUUUGUAGAAAGAACCGGCGAGUUACGAUAUGAUGCGAGGUUAAGUUGAAGAGACGGAGCCGUAGGGAAACCGAGUCUUAAUAGGGCGCAUUAGUAUCAUGUCGUAGACCCGAAACCAUGUGACCUACCCAUGAGCAGGUUGAAGGUGAGGUAAAACUCACUGGAGGACCGAACCAGGGCACGUUGAAAAGUGCUUGGAUGACUUGUGGGUAGCGGAGAAAUUCCAAACGAACUUGGAGAUAGCUGGUUCUCUCCGAAAUAGCUUUAGGGCUAGCGUCGAUGUUAAGUCUCUUGGAGGUAGAGCACUGUUUGGGUGAGGGGUCCAUCCCGGAUUACCAAUCUCAGAUAAACUCCGAAUGCCAACGAGAUAUAAUCGGCAGUCAGACUGCGAGUGCUAAGAUCCGUAGUCGAAAGGGAAACAGCCCAGACCACCAGCUAAGGUCCCAAAAUAUAUGUUAAGUGGAAAAGGAUGUGGGGUUGCACAGACAACUAGGAUGUUAGCUUAGAAGCAGCUAUUCAUUCAAAGAGUGCGUAAUAGCUCACUAGUCGAGUGACCCUGCGCCGAAAAUGUACCGGGGCUAAAACAUAUUACCGAAGCUGUGGAUACCUUUAUAGGUAUGGUAGGAGAGCGUUCUAUGUGCGAAGAAGGUGUACCGUGAGGAGUGCUGGAGCGCAUAGAAGUGAGAAUGCCGGUAUGAGUAGCGAAAGACAGGUGAGAAUCCUGUCCACCGUAAGACUAAGGUUUCCAGGGGAAGGCUCGUCCGCCCUGGGUUAGUCGGGACCUAAGGAGAGACCGAAAGGUGUAUCCGAUGGACAACAGGUUGAUAUUCCUGUACUAGAGUAUAUAGUGAUGGAGGGACGCAGUAGGCUAACUAAACCAGACGAUUGGAAGUGUCUGGCCAAGCAGUGAGGUGUGAUAUGAGUCAAAUGCUUAUAUCUAUAACAUUGAGCUGUGAUGGGGAGCGAAGUUUAGUAGCGAAGUUAGUGAUGUCACACUGCCGAGAAAAGCUUCUAGCGUUAAUUAUACUCUACCCGUACCGCAAACCGACACAGGUAGUCGAGGCGAGUAGCCUCAGGUGAGCGAGAGAACUCUCGUUAAGGAACUCGGCAAAAUGGCCCCGUAACUUCGGGAGAAGGGGCGCUGACUUAUGGUCAGCCGCAGUGAAUAGGCCCAAGCAACUGUUUAUCAAAAACACAGCUCUCUGCUAAAUCGUAAGAUGAUGUAUAGGGGGUGACGCCUGCCCGGUGCUGGAAGGUUAAGAGGAGUGCUUAGCAAUAGCGAAGGUAUGAAUUGAAGCCCCAGUAAACGGCGGCCGUAACUAUAACGGUCCUAAGGUAGCGAAAUUCCUUGUCGGGUAAGUUCCGACCCGCACGAAAGGCGUAAUGAUUUGGGCACUGUCUCAACGAGAGACUCGGUGAAAUUUUAGUACCUGUGAAGAUGCAGGUUACCCGCGACAGGACGGAAAGACCCCAUGGAGCUUUACUGCAGUUUGAUAUUGAGUAUCUGUACCACAUGUACAGGAUAGGUAGGAGCCUAUGACCUCGGGACGCCAGUUUCGAGUGAGGCGUUGUUGGGAUACUACCCUUGUGUUAUGGCUACUCUAACCCAGAUAGGUUAUCCCUAUCGGAGACAGUGUCUGACGGGCAGUUUGACUGGGGCGGUCGCCUCCUAAAAGGUAACGGAGGCGCCCAAAGGUUCCCUCAGAAUGGUUGGAAAUCAUUCGCAGAGUGUAAAGGUAUAAGGGAGCUUGACUGCGAGAGUUACAACUCGAGCAGGGACGAAAGUCGGGCUUAGUGAUCCGGUGGUUCCGCAUGGAAGGGCCAUCGCUCAACGGAUAAAAGCUACCCUGGGGAUAACAGGCUUAUCUCCCCCAAGAGUUCACAUCGACGGGGAGGUUUGGCACCUCGAUGUCGGCUCGUCGCAUCCUGGGGCUGUAGUCGGUCCCAAGGGUUGGGCUGUUCGCCCAUUAAAGCGGCACGCGAGCUGGGUUCAGAACGUCGUGAGACAGUUCGGUCCCUAUCCGUCGCGGGCGUAGGAAAUUUGAGAGGAGCUGCUCCUAGUACGAGAGGACCAGAGUGGACUUACCGCUGGUGUACCAGUUGUUCUGCCAAGAGCAUCGCUGGGUAGCUAUGUAGGGAAGGGAUAAACGCUGAAAGCAUCUAAGUGUGAAGCCUACCUCAAGAUGAGAUUUCCCAUGAUUUU
Molecule: ribosomal RNA, 2396 nt
Filed under: human gut metagenome
Description: bacterial LSU rRNA
Rfam family: Bacterial large subunit ribosomal RNA
Source: RNAcentral